UACUGCAGCUACACCACCACCUACGUACUGGGAGCUGCAGUCACCCAGCAGAGACUCCCUAUUUCAGUCCCAUAGUGCCAAGGAAAUGUCUCCAUUGCCCUCAUGGAAAGCUACCAUUUCACUCCUCCUCUCAGAGGAAGUGCACACUGUGGGAUACACCCAUGUGCCAUUUACCUGGACCAAUAGCUGGCUGGCAAAGACUGGAAUUCUGAAUGAUAUUACAACAAAUCUGAAACAGCUGGGAAAAAGGUCUUCAAGAAGAUGUUUACCAGGCUGUAUAACAAAUUUCCUGAAUGGAAGAAACAGCUAAGGUUAUUGAGGAUGACCAGAAGACAUGAGGCAGACUGGCUGACCCGUCACAGGAAAAUGAUAAAUUUGGUUUUGAGGAAUACAAUGUGAAUAUGAUGCCCAAAAGCAGCAAUCAGUCACACCAAAAGAAAUGAACAAAUAAAACCAAAGCUAGGAAAACA
RNAcentral lists this long non-coding RNA (470 nucleotides) under Phasianus colchicus (ring-necked pheasant). RNAcentral describes it as "lncRNA (ENSPCLG00000003337.1)". Lineage: Eukaryota; Metazoa; Chordata; Aves; Galliformes; Phasianidae. The record is from RNAcentral.